GGUUUGGGCGACUCUAGAGGGGACUGCCGGCGACGAAGUCGGAGGAAGGUGGGGAUGACGUCAAAUCCAUCAUGCCCCUUAUGACCUGGGCUACACACGUGCUACAAUGGGCGGUACAAAGGGCUGCGAACCCGCGAGGGGAGCGAAUCCCAAAAAGCCGCUCUCAGUUCGGAUUGCAGGCUGCAACUCGCCUGCAUGAAGCCGGAAUCGCUAGUAAUCGCGGAUCAGCAUGCCGCGGUGAAUACGUUCCCGGGCCUU
Molecule: ribosomal RNA, 258 nt
Filed under: uncultured Geobacillus sp.
Lineage: Bacteria; Bacillati; Bacillota; Bacilli; Caryophanales; Anoxybacillaceae
Description: partial 16S ribosomal RNA
Rfam family: Bacterial small subunit ribosomal RNA
Source: RNAcentral